Molecule: non-coding RNA, 45 nt
Filed under: Trichobilharzia regenti
Lineage: Eukaryota; Metazoa; Platyhelminthes; Trematoda; Strigeidida; Schistosomatidae
Source: RNAcentral
AUCCAGAUGAAGGGUCCAAAAUAGGACGAAAUGCACAUCCUGGAU